Molecule: ribosomal RNA, 495 nt
Filed under: uncultured bacterium
Lineage: Bacteria
Description: partial 16S ribosomal RNA
Rfam family: Bacterial small subunit ribosomal RNA
Source: RNAcentral
GAUGAACGCUGGCGGCGUGCCUAAUACAUGCAAGUCGAGCGAACAGACGAGGAGCUUGCUCCUCUGACGUUAGCGGCGGACGGGUGAGUAACACGUGGAUAACCUACCUAUAAGACUGGGAUAACUUCGGGAAACCGGAGCUAAUACCGGAUAAUAUAUUGAACCGCAUGGUUCAAUAGUGAAAGACGGUUUUGCUGUCACUUAUAGAUGGAUCCGCGCCGCAUUAGCUAGUUGGUAAGGUAACGGCUUACCAAGGCAACGAUGCGUAGCCGACCUGAGAGGGUGAUCGGCCACACUGAAACUGAGACACGGUCCAGACUCCUACGGGAGGCAGCAGUAGGGAAUCUUCCGCGAUGGGCGAAAGCCUGACGGAGCAACGCCGCGUGAGUGAUGAAGGUCUUCGGAUCGUAAAACUCUGUUAUUAGGGAAGAACAAAUGUGUAAGUAACUAUGCACGUCUUGACGGUACCUAAUCAGAAAGCCACGGCUAACUACG